RNAcentral lists this small RNA (2105 nucleotides) under Arabidopsis thaliana (thale cress). RNAcentral describes it as "ATSL162560". The record is from RNAcentral. Lineage: Eukaryota; Viridiplantae; Streptophyta; Magnoliopsida; Brassicales; Brassicaceae.
AUCUUGGAAGAGAGUAACUCAGGACAAAUCCAAUCACAGAAACAAAAUAAAGAACAAAUCACAAAAGAUGAUAUAAUACAAUGGUGAAGUGAGGCGCUUACCUCAAUCAAAGAAUGAACGAAGUUGGUCGUCAAUGGCUGCCUGUGAUUGCUCCCAAGCCAUAGACGAGCCACCCUGUUCUGUAUCAGCUCCAGCAGGUGGGUACUCGACCUCAUCAGCUCUGUGGAUACUCGACCUCUCUUCCUCUGCUGCGGCCAGCACCGUGGUCGAGUGAUCUCCUCGAGUGAAUUAGGCAUGAUCUACUGCUAGAGCGAACGAGUGUAGCCUUCCUUCUUCACUUGUGCUCCCGGGACUCGAAUGACGAAUGCCUAGCAGGGACAUGUGAGACUCUCUGCUCACUAAGCUCAGGUCUGUGCUCAGGCUCAUCAAAUCUCCUCAAUGGCAUAUCUAGAGGAGGCUGUCCCUGUGGAAUAGCUGUAGUAGAAGAGGAACAGCUCAGUUAAUCUAUCAGAAACUUGAUAGUCUUAAAGCACUUGGCGAGCCGCUUGUCCUGCUUCUUGCAACACUUCUGCAGCUUAUUGUUGUUCCUAUGAGCUUCACUCAAGCUCUUGCUCUCCCUCGCCAGAGGUACAUGUUCAUCAAAAUGAUACAUGCUAGUGUCGAACUCCACUGCUCUGUCUUCAUCCAUCCCAUCCUAAGCAGCUUCUUCUAUAAGAUCAUCCUCAUCCAAUGGCGGAGCGUUCUCAUAGUAGAGGUUUCCAAGCUCAGGCCGAAAAUCAAUGUUAUCUCCCUCUAUUAUCCGUGUAACCUUAGGGCUGGGGAGAAGGAUGCUAGCUCUCUUAUCCGUAGAGUGCUUAAACCUAAAACAGUGCAUGUCGCCAACCAUUCCGAACUUCAGGACGUAGGAUGCUAACUCCAGGACUUCGCAGUGACGUAGAUGCUUGAUAUCAAUUGCCCGUGGCUCGAGUCCAUCAGAUGUGAUUGGGACUCCACAAGCAAUCAGAAUCGGUGUCACAACACCGACUAUGCAAAGAGCGCCUCGUGCUCUCUUGUGAUUAUUGCUGACAGCCCAGCUCUUGUAUCCACACAGGUGGAUUAGAAGAAGUACAGAGAAAGGUGUGUCAUUGAUUUCACAGAUAUGUUGUUCUUAGUUUGGUAGAGAGUGCCUUUGAGAGCAUAUAGCGAUCAUCUCCAUAUCAGAAUUGGUAACAGUCCCUGUGAUCUCUCUGGAGUAGAGGACAUUGGCUAUAGAACGCUGGAAGUACCUGAUGACAGGGCUGCGUAUCUGAUUGCUCUUUAACCUGGAAGAAUUUAGCGGUACAGAGCUGCCAAUGGUGAUCCAUAAGUCUUUCAACUCUUCUCUGUCAUACUUGGGCUUAGUACCCGUUCCACUGGGGAAACCAAAAAGUCCUUCCAAGCGUUUGAUUGAUAACCUAUACUCAUGACCAUACACAGAGAAUCUCAAGAAUCCCAAUCCUUCGCAAUCCAACUCAUCAGAGGUCAUACCUUGGUAAAGCUCCACUUGCCGUGUGGAGAGGAAUUGAAUUGUCUCUUCUUCAUAUGCUACAUACGGAUAAGCCAUCAGAGUGUCCACAUGACUACUCUGGUACAGGUGUUGAACAUCUUCCAACAAUCCAAGUUAUGCAAGUGUGGUCGAGCAUGGAUACCUUGUGCUACAGAACUCAUUUAGUUUGAAGAGUCUGAUAUACUCCUCAGCAGGUAAUACAUCUGGUUUGUGAAGAAGCUUUGUGGCUCUACUAGUAUGCUCAAGCAUGUACUCGUCUUCUAGAUCCUCAUCUAUAAGCUCGUACCUCUCUGUCAUUGCUCUCUUCCCUCGAGCUAUCUCAGCUUUUCUUCUGAAGCUAUCAAAUUCUAUCUUUUCUCUCUCUGGCCUUGAAGAUGACGACUAUGUCUCAUCCAUGUUGUAGUCAGGAUCAACUGAAGAAUUGCCACUGUAAUUACUCAUGAUUCUCUUGUAGAAGAUUUAGAACUCAAAACUCCAAUAUCAAUAGGAUAGUCUCAAAGAGAACAAUCAAACCAAAAUUGUUAACAACAGACAAUAUAGACCCAAACGGUCAAGUACAAUCAAAUACUCAAGUAAGCUU